GACGAACGCUGGCGGCGUGCUUAACACAUGCAAGUCGAACGGAAAGGCCCUGCUUUUGUGGGGUGCCCGAGUGGCGAACGGGUGAGUAACACGUGAGUAACCUGCCCUUGACUUUGGGAUAACUUCCGGAAACUGGGGCUAAUUCCGGCUAGGAGCUCCUGCUGCUUGGCGGGGGUUGGAAAGUUUCGGCGGUUGGGGAUGGACUAGCGGCCUAUCAGCUUGUUGGUGGGGUAGUGUCGUACCAAGGCUUUGACGGGUAGCCGGCCUGCGAGGGUGACCGGCCACAUUGGGACUGGGAUGCGGCCCAGACUCCUACGGGAGGCAGCAGUGGGGAAUAGUGCACAAUGGGCGGAAGCCUGAUGCAGCAACGCCGCGUGCGAGAUGACGGCCUUCGGGUUGUAAACCGCUUUCGCCGGUGACGAAGCGUGAGUGACGGUAAUGGGUAAAGAAGCACCGGCUAACUACGUG
Molecule: ribosomal RNA, 468 nt
Filed under: uncultured bacterium
Lineage: Bacteria
Description: partial 16S ribosomal RNA
Rfam family: Bacterial small subunit ribosomal RNA
Source: RNAcentral